CAGAGGGUGCAAGCGUUGUUCGGAAUUAUUGGGCGUAAAGCGCGUGUAGGCGGCUUUGCAAGUCGGGUGUGAAAGCCCUCAGCUUAACUGAGGAAGUGCGCCCGAAACUGCAGAGCUUGAGUACCGGAGAGGAUGGCGGAAUUCCCCAAGUAGAGGUGAAAUUCGUAGAUAUGGGGAGGAACACCGGUGGCGAAGGCGGCCAUCUGGACGGAUACUGACGCUGAGACACGAAAGCGUGGGUAGCAAACAGGAUUAGAUACCCUGGUAGUCCACGCCGUAAACGAUGAGAACUAGGUGUCGUGGGUGUUGACCCCCGCGGUGCCGUAGCUAACGCAUUAAGUUCUCCGCCUGGGAAGUACGGCCGCAAGGCUA
RNAcentral lists this ribosomal RNA (372 nucleotides) under uncultured organism. Its description in RNAcentral is "bacterial SSU rRNA". It matches the Rfam family "Bacterial small subunit ribosomal RNA", at positions 526 to 896 of the family's 1533-position model. The record is from RNAcentral.